RNAcentral lists this unclassified non-coding RNA (376 nucleotides) under Hevea brasiliensis (rubber tree). Lineage: Eukaryota; Viridiplantae; Streptophyta; Magnoliopsida; Malpighiales; Euphorbiaceae. The record is from RNAcentral.
AUAAAUUGGUCACUGCCUAUCAAGACCCGACUCUAAUGCCAAUUCAAUACUCUGCAAACGCUGACAGUCUUAACAGUCCCCUUAUAUCAUCCGCUGAUGUUUGAAUAUAAGGUAUUAGUAUGUAUAUUGUANNNNNNNNNCUGUGAAAUGGCAGUUUCUAUUGUCUACUGCCAUUUUGAUGGGUAAUGACCUUUUCCUGCCAUGAGUUAAUAUUCCAACGAAAAGCAUUUAUCACGAGUACAUGCCUGGAUGUAAAUGUAUGUCCAUUCGUGAUUGUUCUUUAAUUUUUAUUUUUUACAUUGGAGUGUAAAUUAGCCCUGAGAUAGUGGUAAAUGCAAGCAUGUGAUCAACUCCAAAAAAAAAAAAAAAAAAAAAA